This is a long non-coding RNA of Juglans microcarpa x Juglans regia, 146 nucleotides long. RefSeq lists it as uncharacterized. NCBI's taxonomy places the organism in Eukaryota, Viridiplantae, Streptophyta, Magnoliopsida, Fagales, Juglandaceae. The record is from RefSeq and is a predicted model, not a curated record. The transcript is spliced from 3 exons.
AAAUUGACUAGAUCCAGAGACAAACCCCUUCACAGUGUUUUGGACUUAACAAAAUCUGGUUAACCAUGUCGAGUAUAUUGUCUUCUCAAUACUUACCAGCAUGAUGCCUCUGAUAAUCUCGUCCUUGUAGUAUUCAGGUUCCGGUU